RNAcentral lists this transfer RNA (73 nucleotides) under Deltaproteobacteria bacterium. Its description in RNAcentral is "tRNA-Thr". It matches the Rfam family "tRNA". Rfam says of the family: Transfer RNA (tRNA) molecules are approximately 80 nucleotides in length. The record is from RNAcentral. Lineage: Bacteria; Pseudomonadati; Myxococcota; Myxococcia.
GCUGGCGUAGCUCAAUCGGUAGAGCAGCUGCUUUGUAAGCAGCCGGUUGUUGGUUCGAGUCCGAUCGCCAGCU